UUCUUUGAUUGAAGUAGACACUUAGUGGAGUCCUCUGGAUGGAUUCCAGCAGCUGCUGGUGGAAGCCCAAGAUGACAUCUCCAGCUGUGCUUUCCAGAAUCCAUCAGGGCCGAUGAGCAGGAGCACAAGUAACGGAACAAGUGGGACUUUUCCAGCCUUGUGAGUGAGGCUGGGGGUUCCUGGGACCCUCAAGGGGAGCUGAUUGGCAGCAGGAAGCAGCUUCAAUACUACACUCUUCUUGGAAAAGAAAACCAAGAAAUGAUGAAGAGCCCAAAGCUUGUCCUGACCAGCCAAAAGACAUGGACUUUGGGAGGACCGUUCAGAGAAUUCAGAGCCAAGGAGAGCAAUAAAAAUGUCUAAUCAAUAGUCCCAUUAAGUGUUUCAUGUUUUAAUGUUUUAAGUGUCAAUGUUUGGUUGGAAUAUAAUAGGAGUUAUAGUUUUCCUCUUCAAGUUUUUUGGUGUGUUUGUUUGUUUUUGAGACUGGGCCUUCCUCACUCUCAACCAGACUGGAAGUACAGUAGUCACCCAAGAGGCCCCCUCCCAAUAUUGAUCAGCACAGAAGCUUUAACCUGCUACAUUUUCCUGACUUGGGUGGUUUGGCUUUGGUCCUAUUGCACCAGAACUUCUGGACUCAGGUGAUUUACCAGCCUCAGUCUCCCCAAACGGAGGUGCAUAUAGUGUGUAUACCAAACUACUGUUCGUUUUCGGUUGCUCCUUGUUGUUGUUGAUGGUGAGUCAUUCCAAUCACAUCUGACUCCACCACCACAUUUGGAGUUUUCUUGGCAGAGAUGCUAGAGUGGUUUGG
This is a non-coding RNA of Phascolarctos cinereus (koala), 805 nucleotides long. Lineage: Eukaryota; Metazoa; Chordata; Mammalia; Diprotodontia; Phascolarctidae. The record is from RefSeq and is a predicted model, not a curated record.